RNAcentral lists this unclassified non-coding RNA (184 nucleotides) under Pluteus brunneidiscus. Its description in RNAcentral is "partial internal transcribed spacer 2". The record is from RNAcentral. Lineage: Eukaryota; Fungi; Basidiomycota; Agaricomycetes; Agaricales; Pluteaceae.
AAUUCUCAAUCCCUGCAAUCUUGUGUUGUCAGGUGAUUGGAUUCUGGGGGCUUGCUGGCUUUGUUCAGCUCCCCUUAAAAGCAUUAGCAGGACAUUAUGCCAUCUGUGCUUUGUAUGAUAUUUAUCUAUACACUGUACUUGUUGUGCACAACUGCUUCCAACUGUCACAUCUGACAUUUGACCA